RNAcentral lists this ribosomal RNA (253 nucleotides) under uncultured bacterium. RNAcentral's name for it is "partial 16S ribosomal RNA". It matches the Rfam family "Bacterial small subunit ribosomal RNA", at positions 524 to 776 of the family's 1533-position model. The record is from RNAcentral.
UACGUAGGGUGCAAGCGUUAAUCGGAAUUACUGGGCGUAAAGCGUGCGCAGGCGGUGAUGUAAGACAGAUGUGAAAUCCCCGGGCUCAACCUGGGAACUGCAUUUGUGACUGCAUCGCUGGAGUACGGCAGAGGGGGAUGGAAUUCCGCGUGUAGCAGUGAAAUGCGUAGAGAUCGGGAGGAACACCAGAGGCGAAGGCGGCGACCUGGACAGAUACUGACACUCAACUACGAAAGCGUGGGGAGCAAACAGG